GGAGGAUGGUGGGCCAUUGCGACGCGGCAGAGUAGACGGCCGUCAGUCGUCGGGCAGGAGAGCCGUGGAUCAGAUCCAUGGAUCGGAAAGUUUGCUUUUCCGUCUAAUGGCUGCAGACCGGAAUUGAAUGCAGGACCGAGAGUCCUCUCGUCUAGGGCGUGGGUCAUUUGGAAGCUGAGGAAUGCGGGGAUAGAGGGAAGGAGCGCCGGCGGCGAGACACCAUGGAGUUUCUGAUGCAGCCCAUCGGCAGAUCCACUCUGCUUGACGAGGUAGGCAUAGUUUGGUGCCGGCUCCUGCGGCUCUGGGGUGGGGGAUUUUGAGGUGGCACAGCCGGUGGAGCGCGAGGCGGCGCAGCAUCGGAAGGUGGACAGUGCCAUAGUGGCGAGGCACAAAUCUUCUUGGGGAAGGAGACGACGGCGGACAGAAGAGAGAGCUCGCUGCUGACAUGCGAGCUGUCAACGAGGAAAAUGAACCUCCAAGCCCCUGGGUGGAAAAAGAGGUUGAUUGCUGUCUGCAACCAGAAAAUUCAUGCUAUAUGUGCCUCUGUUUGCAGGGUGAUUGCUCUCUACAGUCAGAAAAUUCCUGUGUUUGCAGGCUGAGGAUUGGUGUUGCUGCACCGAGCAAAACACCCUGCCCAAAUCGUAUAAAUGCGUUCGAGAAGGCAGUCAGGUGUUUUGCAAAGAACCCAGCUGAAAAUGUGAUCACACCGGUUCUUGGAAGAUGACAGGAAGCUCAGGGAGCAAGAGAAGGAUGUCGAGGUUGCGAGGAAGUGUCAGGAGGACACAGAGAGGAACACAAUGAAACAUUUUGUUGAAAUUUGUUGAUUAUUGGGCAUGUGGAAGAUGAUAGUUGUAUGUGUUGGUGCAGCCACAGAUGAGGAGAUCGCACACGCAUCUCGAGAUGUUACUGCUAGUGGGCCUGUAUAUAAUGUUGCUCAGGAAUCAACCCGGAAGGUGGUGGCAUGCCAGGUGGUUAGACAAGUUUGGAUGAUGGUGGCAUAUUGAUCGGAGCUGGCAAUUAAACUGCGGUGAUAAGUCCAAAAAACAAAAUCAAGAAAGAGAAUGAAAAUAUGAUUAUCGGGGAGUAUGACAUACCUAGUGACCCAAUGUGUGGUUCGCAGGGCGGAAUCGCAAUACUAGACGUGCCAGUGGUGGUGGGAGCAGCACUGUGAAGCAGUCUCGAUGCCGGAAGGGCAAUAAGAGAGCAAAAAGAAGAAGGAAUACGAGGUGGAGUUAGUUCGGUUCUCUAAUAUUGUUGAGAUGAUAUGCACAUGUCUCAGAGAGCUCAGAAAACAAUGGCACAAGCAGUGACGAUAGCAACAACGCUAGUGGUGAAGACGUGGGUUAUACUGGCCGCGCAAGUAAGGAAACAAAUAUUUGUGGAAGUACUUUAUUUUUGUUUGUUCAUGGAACCGUAUGUGCUAAACCUUGCAUCAUCAGGAUGUAAAACAGAGCCAACAGCCAUGGGUGCAACCAGAUGAAUUCGAAUAAUGAUCUCUCCUGAAAGUGUAGUCUGUAUUGUUUCGUGUGCUUUCUAGAACUGGUCGGUGCAAUCAUCAUGUUGUAGCUGCUGUGGGCAAAGAUUAUUGUGAUUUAGAUACACAGUCUGUGCAUGAGUAAUGUCUUUCCUGUGAAACAAAUUUAAUUAAGUGUCAAGUGUUGAGUCCCUAAAUUUGUUUGCA
Triticum dicoccoides is the source of this 1681-nucleotide long non-coding RNA. RefSeq lists it as uncharacterized. The record is from RefSeq and is a predicted model, not a curated record. The transcript is spliced from 6 exons. Lineage: Eukaryota; Viridiplantae; Streptophyta; Magnoliopsida; Poales; Poaceae.